AAAAUAACGAAAUAUCACUAGUUCUGGACAGCUUAAAAGCAACUGAGAAUGAAAUUGAUUUUCUGAAAGAUCAUGGAUCAAAUAAUCAGCUAUUUAUAACCUUGCACCAACAAGUAACAAAUGUACAAAACAACGAAGCAAAAGUUCUACAGAAAAUAUCCAAUGCACAUGAAUCGAAAUAACCUUUGAUGAAAAGAAAAUUAAACAGAUUGAUUCAUUCAAACCGCUGUCAGAGACUGUUAACCCUUGACAGGUGCAAUACGUU
RNAcentral lists this long non-coding RNA (265 nucleotides) under Mytilus galloprovincialis (Mediterranean mussel). Lineage: Eukaryota; Metazoa; Mollusca; Bivalvia; Mytilida; Mytilidae. The record is from RNAcentral.